UACGUAGGGUGCAAGCGUUAAUCGGAAUUACUGGGCGUAAAGCGUGCGCAGGCGGUUUUGUAAGUCUGUCGUGAAAUCCCCGGGCUCAACCUGGGAAUUGCGAUGGAGACUGCAAGGCUGGAGUCUGGCAGAGGGGGGUAGAAUUCCACGUGUAGCAGUGAAAUGCGUAGAGAUGUGGAGGAACACCGAUGGCGAAGGCAGCCCCCCUGGGUCAAGACUGACGCUCAUGCACGGAAGCGUGGGGAGCAAACGAGG
This 255-nucleotide ribosomal RNA is filed under the name uncultured bacterium. RNAcentral's name for it is "partial 16S ribosomal RNA". It matches the Rfam family "Bacterial small subunit ribosomal RNA", at positions 524 to 777 of the family's 1533-position model. The record is from RNAcentral.